AUUGAACGCUGGCGGCAUGCCUUACACAUGCAAGUCGAACGGCAGCACGGGGGCGACUCUGGUGGCGAGUGGCGAACGGGUGAGUAAUAUAUCGGAACGUGCCCUGGAGUGGGGGAUAACGUAGCGAAAGUUACGCUAAUACCGCAUACGAUCUACGGAUGAAAGUGGGGGAUCGCAAGACCUCAUGCUCCUGGAGCGGCCGAUAUCUGAUUAGCUAGUUGGUGGGGUAAAAGCCUACCAAGGCGACGAUCAGUAGCUGGUUUGAGAGAACGACCAGCCACACUGGGACUGAGACACGGCCCAGACUCCUACGGGAGGCAGCAGUGGGGAAUUUUGGACAAUGGGCGCAAGCCUGAUCCAGCAAUGCCGCGUGCAGGAAGAAGGCCUUCGGGUUGUAAACUGCUUUUGUACGGAACGAAACGGUCUGGGUUAAUACCCUGGGCUAAUGACGGUACAGUAAGAAUAAGCACCGGCUAACUACGUGCCAGCCGCCGCAGUAA
Molecule: ribosomal RNA, 500 nt
Filed under: uncultured bacterium
Lineage: Bacteria
Description: partial 16S ribosomal RNA
Rfam family: Bacterial small subunit ribosomal RNA
Source: RNAcentral